This 492-nucleotide ribosomal RNA is filed under the name uncultured bacterium. RNAcentral describes it as "partial 16S ribosomal RNA". It matches the Rfam family "Bacterial small subunit ribosomal RNA", at positions 29 to 507 of the family's 1533-position model. The record is from RNAcentral.
AGUGAACGCUGGCGGUAGGCCUAACACAUGCAAGUCGAACGGCAGCACAGUAAGAGCUUGCUCUUACGGGUGGCGAGUGGCGGACGGGUGAGGAAUACAUCGGAAUCUACUUUUUCGUGGGGGAUAACGUAGGGAAACUUACGCUAAUACCGCAUACGACCUACGGGUGAAAGCAGGGGAUCUUCGGACCUUGCGCGAUUGAAUGAGCCGAUGUCGGAUUAGCUAGUUGGCGGGGUAAAGGCCCACCAAGGCGACGAUCCGUAGCUGGUCUGAGAGGAUGGUCAGCCACACUGGAACGGAGACACGGUCCAGACUCCUGCGGGAGGCAGCAGUGGGGAAUAGUGGACAAUGGGCGCAAGCCUGAUACAGCCAUACCGCGUGGGUGAAGAAGGCCUUCGGGUUGUAAAGCCCUUUUGUUGGGAAAGAAAAGCAGCAGGUUAAUACCCCGCUGUUCUGACGGUACCCAAAGAAUAAGCACCGGCUAACUUCGUG